UGGGGAAUUUUGGACAAUGGGCGAAAGCCUGAUCCAGCAAUGCCGCGUGUGUGAAGAAGGCCUUCGGGUUGUAAAGCACUUUUGUCCGGAAAGAAAUCCUUGGCUCUAAUACAGUCGGGGGAUGACGGUACCGGAAGAAUAAGCACCGGCUAACUACGUGCCAGCAGCCGCGGUAAUACGUAGGGUGCAAGCGUUAAUCGGAAUUACUGGGCGUAAAGCGUGCGCAGGCGGUUUGCUAAGACCGAUGUGAAAUCCCCGGGCUCAACCUGGGAACUGCAUUGGUGACUGGCAGGCUAGAGUAUGGCAGAGGGGGGUAGAAUUCCACGUGUAGCAGUGAAAUGCGUAGAGAUGUGGAGGAAUACCGAUGGCGAAGGCAGCCCCCUGGGCCAAUACUGACGCUCAUGCACGAAAGCGUGAGGAGCAAACAGGAUUAGAUACCCUGGUAGUCCACGCCCUAAACGAUGUCAACUAGUUGUUGGGGCAUUCAUUUCCUUAGUAACGUAGCUAACGCGUGAAGUUGACCGCCUGGGGAGUACGGUCGCAAGAUUAAAACUCAAAGGAAUUGACGGGGUCAUAGCUGUUUCCU
Molecule: ribosomal RNA, 586 nt
Filed under: uncultured bacterium
Lineage: Bacteria
Description: partial 16S ribosomal RNA
Rfam family: Bacterial small subunit ribosomal RNA
Source: RNAcentral